GACGAACGCUGGCGGCGUGCUUAACACAUGCAAGUCGAACGCUGAAGGUGGAGCUUGCUCCGCCGGAUCAGUGGCGAACGGGUGAGUAACACGUAGGACACCUGCCCCUCACUUCGGGAUAACUCCGGGAAACCGGGGCUAAUACCGGAUACGACCUCCUUGGGCAUCCUUGGAGGUGGGAAGUUUUGCGGUGAGGGAUGGGCCCGCGGCCUAUCAGCUUGUUGGUGGGGUAGUGCCUCACCAAGGCGACGACGGGUAGCCGGCCUGAGAGGGCGACCGGCCACACUGGGACUGAGACACGGCCCAGACUCCUACGGGAGGCAGCAGUGGGGAAUAUUGCGCAAUGGGCGAAAGCCUGACGCAGCAACGCCGCGUGCGGGAUGAAGGCCUUCGGGUUGUAAACCGCUUUCAGCAGGGAAGAAGCCGCAAGGUGACGGUACCUGCAGAAGAAGCACCGGCUAACUACGUGCCAGCCGCCGCGGUAA
RNAcentral lists this ribosomal RNA (485 nucleotides) under uncultured bacterium. RNAcentral's name for it is "partial 16S ribosomal RNA". It matches the Rfam family "Bacterial small subunit ribosomal RNA", at positions 28 to 523 of the family's 1533-position model. The record is from RNAcentral.